CCUACGGGAGGCAGCAGUAGGGAAUAUUGCUCAAUGGGGGAAACCCUGAAGCAGCAACGCCGCGUGGAGGAUGAAGGUUUUCGGAUUGUAAACUCCUUUUGUUAGAGAAGAGAAUGACGGUAUCUAACGAAUAAGCACCGGCUAACUCCGUGCCAGCAGCCGCGGUAAUACGGAGGGUGCAAGCGUUACUCGGAAUCACUGGGCGUAAAGAGCGCGUAGGCGGGAUAGCAAGUCAGAUGUGAAAUCCUAUGGCUUAACCAUAGAACUGCAUUUGAAACUGUUAUUCUAGAGUCUGGGAGCGGUAGGUUGAAUUCUUGGUGUAGUGGUCCAAUCCGUAGAGAUCACGAGGAAUACUCAUUGCGAAGGCGACCUGCUAGAACAUACCUGACGCUGCUGCGCGAAAGCGUGGGUAGCAAACCGGAUUAGAUACCCGAGUAGUC
RNAcentral lists this ribosomal RNA (440 nucleotides) under uncultured bacterium. Its description in RNAcentral is "partial 16S ribosomal RNA". It matches the Rfam family "Bacterial small subunit ribosomal RNA", at positions 338 to 795 of the family's 1533-position model. The record is from RNAcentral.